GAUGAACGCUGGCGGCGUGCCUAAUACAUGCAAGUCGAGCGAACAGACGAGGAGCUUGCUCCUCUGACGUUAGCGGCGGACGGGUGAGUAACACGUGGAUAACCUACCUAUAAGACUGGGAUAACUUCGGGAAACCGGAGCUAAUACCGGAUAAUAUAUUGAACCGCAUGGUUCAAUAGUGAAAGACGGUUUUGCUGUCACUUAUAGAUGGAUCCGCGCCGCAUUAGCUAGUUGGGAAGGUAACGGCUUACCAAGGCAACGAUGCGUAGCCGACCUGAGAGGGUGGUCGGCCACACUGGAACUGAGACACGGUCCAGACUCCUACGGGAGGCAGCAGUAGGGAAUCUUCCGCAAUGGGCGAAAGCCUGACGGAGCAACGCCGCGUGAGUGAUGAAGGUCUUCGGAUCGUAAAACUCUGUUAUUAGGGAAGAACAAAUGUGUAAGUAACUAUGCACGUCUUGACGGUACCUAAUCAGAAAGCCACGGCUAACUACGUG
RNAcentral lists this ribosomal RNA (497 nucleotides) under uncultured bacterium. RNAcentral's name for it is "partial 16S ribosomal RNA". It matches the Rfam family "Bacterial small subunit ribosomal RNA", at positions 28 to 507 of the family's 1533-position model. The record is from RNAcentral.